CCUACGGGGUGCAGCAGUCGAGAAUCAUUCACAAUGGGGGAAACCCUGAUGGUGCGACGCCGCGUGGGGGAAUGAAGGUCUUCGGAUUGUAAACCCCUGUCAUGUGGGAGCAAAUUAAAAAGAUAGUACCACAAGAGGAAGAGACGGCUAACUCUGUGCCAGCAGCCGCGGUAAUACAGAGGUCUCAAGCGUUGUUCGGAAUCACUGGGCGUAACGCGUGCGGAGGCUGUUUCGUAAGUCGUGUGUGAAAGGCGCGGGCUCAACCCGCGGACGGCACAUGAUACUGCGAGACUAGAGUAAUGGAGGGGGAACCGGAAUUCUCGGUGUAGCAGUGAAAUGCGUAGAUAUCGAGAGGAACACUCGUGGCGAAGGCGGGUUCCUGGACAUUAACUGACGCUGAGGCACGAAGGCCAGGGGAGCGAAAGGGAUUAGAUACCCGGGUAGUC
RNAcentral lists this ribosomal RNA (446 nucleotides) under uncultured bacterium. RNAcentral describes it as "partial 16S ribosomal RNA". It matches the Rfam family "Bacterial small subunit ribosomal RNA", at positions 338 to 795 of the family's 1533-position model. The record is from RNAcentral.